CUUCUAGGGCAUACAUCCAACAAUCUUUCACUUGCACUAAAGCCAAUCUGCCAUAUACCAAGCCCCAUCUACUCAAGACAGACUUUAGUCUUCAGCUAGCUAAGUGACUUACUAGUGAGUUUACCACAUCUCAUGUAGAUUUUGCUCUCUGCACCUCUAUAUAUUUCUUACUUAAGAUAGUCACGUAUUCUGUUGCUCUCUGUGUUUGGAUAUCUGGUG
This 219-nucleotide long non-coding RNA is filed under the name Elaeis guineensis (African oil palm). RNAcentral's name for it is "long non-coding RNA (EGUI_LNC042469)". Lineage: Eukaryota; Viridiplantae; Streptophyta; Magnoliopsida; Arecales; Arecaceae. The record is from RNAcentral.